AUAUGUAAAAAUUAUAUACUUGAAUAAUUUUGAACGAAAGGGAAUACGGUUCCAAUUCCGUAACCUGUUGAGUAUCCGUUUGUUAUUAAAUAUGGGCCUCGUGCUCAUCCUGGCAACAGGAACGACCAUAAAGAAGCCGUCGAGAGAUAUCGGAAGAGUUUUCUUUUCUGUUUUAUAGUCGUACUACCAUGGAAGUCUUUCGCAGAGAGAUAUGGUAGAUGGGCUAGAAGAGCAUGACAUAUACUGUUGUGUCGAUAUUUUCUCCUCGGACCUUGAAAAUUUAUGGUGGGGAUACGCAAACUUCUCAACAGGCCGUACCAAUAUCCGCAGCUGGUCUCCAAGGUGAAGAGUCUCUAGUCGAUAGAAUAAUGUAGGUAAGGGAAGUCGGCAAAUUAGAUCCGUAACUUCGGGAUAAGGAUUGGCUCUGAAGAUUGAGAUAGUCGGGCUUGAUUGGGAAACAAUAAUAUGGUUUAUGUGCUCGUUCUGGGUAAAUAGAGUUUCGAUCAUUUAUGGUUGUAACUUGUUCCCCGGAUAGUUAGUUACGUAUCCAAUUGUGGAACUUUCUUGCUAAAAUUUUUAAGAAUACUAGUUGGGUCAAACCAAUUAGUUCUUAUUAAUUAUAACGAUUAUCAAUUAACAAUCAAUUCAGAACUGGCACGGACUUGGGGAAUCCGACUGUCUAAUUAAAACAAAGCAUUGUGAUGGCCCUAGCGGGUGUUGACACAAUGUGAUUUCUGCCCAGUGCUCUGAAUGUCAAAGUGAAGAAAUUCAAGUAAGCGCGGGUCAACGGCGGGAGUAACUAUGACUCUCUUAAGGUAGCCAAAUGCCUCGUCAUCUAAUUAGUGACGCGCAUGAAUGGAUUAACGAGAUUCCUACUGUCCCUAUCUACUAUCUAGCGAAACCACAGCCAAGGGAACGGGCUUGGAAUAAUUAGCGGGGAAAGAAGACCCUUUUGAGCUUGACUCUAAUCUGGCAGUGUAAGGAGACAUAAGAGGUGUAGAAUAAGUGGGAGAUAUUAGACUUCGGUUUGGUAUCGCCAAUGAAAUACCACUACUCUUAUUGUUUCCUUACUUACUUGAUUAAAUGGAACGUGUAUCAUUUCCUAGCCAUUAUACGGAUAUAUUUAUUAUAUCUUAUGGUAUUGGGUUUUGAUGCAAGCUUCUUGAUCAAAGUAUCACGAGUUUGUUAUAUAAUCGCAAACAAAUUCUUUAAUGAGAGAUGCAUUUACUGUAUUAUUGAUUUGAAAAUUUGGUAUAACUCCAAUUACUCAGGUAUGAUCCAAUUCAAGGACAUUGCCAGGUAGGGAGUUUGACUGGGGCGGUACAUCUCUCAAAUAAUAACGGAGGUGUCCCAAGGCCAGCUCAGUGCGGACAGAAACCACACAUAGAGCAAAAGGGCAAAUGCUGACUUGAUCUCGGUGUUCAGUACACACAGGGACAGCAAAAGCUCGGCCUAUCGAUCCUUUUGGUUUAAAGAGUUUUUAACAAGAGGUGUCAGAAAAGUUACCAUAGGGAUAACUGGCUUGUGGCGGCCAAGCGUUCAUAGCGACGUCGCUUUUUGAUCCUUCGAUGUCGGCUCUUCCUAUCAUUGUGAAGCAAAAUUCACCAAGCGUUGGAUUGUUCACCCAUGCAAGGGAACGUGAGCUGGGUUUAGACCGUCGUGAGACAGGUUAGUUUUACCCUACUAAUGACAAAACGUUGUUGCGACAGCAUUCCUGCGUAGUACGAGAGGAACCGCAGGUACGGACCAAUGGCACAAUACUUGUUCGAGCGAACAGUGGUAUGACGCUACGUCCGUUGGAUUAUGCCUGAACGCCUCUAAGGUCGUAUCCGUGCUGGACUGCAAUGAUAAAUAAGGGGCAAUUUGCAUUGUAUGGCUUCUAAACCAUUUAAAGUUUAUUAUUUAUAUUUUAAACGACAAUGGAUGUGAUGCCAAUGUAAUUUGU
RNAcentral lists this ribosomal RNA (1945 nucleotides) under Drosophila ananassae. RNAcentral describes it as "eukaryotic LSU rRNA". It matches the Rfam family "Eukaryotic large subunit ribosomal RNA", at positions 1561 to 3258 of the family's 3401-position model. Lineage: Eukaryota; Metazoa; Arthropoda; Insecta; Diptera; Drosophilidae. The record is from RNAcentral.